RNAcentral lists this ribosomal RNA (253 nucleotides) under uncultured bacterium. Its description in RNAcentral is "partial 16S ribosomal RNA". It matches the Rfam family "Bacterial small subunit ribosomal RNA", at positions 524 to 776 of the family's 1533-position model. The record is from RNAcentral.
UACGUAGGGUGCAAGCGUUGUCCGGAAUUAUUGGGCGUAAAGAGCUCGUAGGCGGUUUGUCGCGUCUGCUGUGAAAACUCGGGGCUUAACCCCGGGCCUGCAGUGGGUACGGGCAGACUAGAGUGCGGUAGGGGAGACUGGAAUUCCUGGUGUAGCGGUGAAAUGCGCAGAUAUCAGGAGGAACACCGGUGGCGAAGGCGGGUCUCUGGGCAACAACUGACGCUGAGGAGCGAAAGCGUGGGGAGCGAACAGG